RNAcentral lists this ribosomal RNA (425 nucleotides) under uncultured bacterium. RNAcentral describes it as "bacterial SSU rRNA". It matches the Rfam family "Bacterial small subunit ribosomal RNA", at positions 917 to 1341 of the family's 1533-position model. The record is from RNAcentral.
GGGCCCGCACAAGCGGUGGAGCAUGUGGUUUAAUUCGAUGCAACGCGAAGAACCUUACCUACUCUUGACAUCCAGAGAACUUUUCAGAGAUGAAUUGGUGCCUUCGGGAACUCUGAGACAGGUGCUGCAUGGCUGUCGUCAGCUCGUGUUGUGAAAUGUUGGGUUAAGUCCCGCAACGAGCGCAACCCUUAUCCUUGUUUGCCAGCGAGUAAUGUCGGGAACUCCAGGGAGACUGCCGGUGAUAAACCGGAGGAAGGUGGGGACGACGUCAAGUCAUCAUGGCCCUUACGAGUAGGGCUACACACGUGCUACAAUGGCGCAUACAGAGGGCAGCCAACUUGCGAGAGUGAGCGAAUCCCAAAAAGUGCGUCGUAGUCCGGAUCGGAGUCUGCAACUCGACUCCGUGAAGUCGGAAUCGCUAGUAA